UUUAACAUGAGAGUUUGAUCCUGGCUCAGGAUGAACGCUGGCGGCGUGCUUAACACAUGCAAGUCGAACGAAGCACUCUACUUGAUCUCUUCGGAGUGAUUGUUUUGUGACUGAGUGGCGGACGGGUGAGUAACGCGUGGGUAACCUGCCUCAUACAGGGGGAUAACAGUUGGAAACGACUGCUAAUACCGCAUAAGCGCACAGGGUCGCAUGACCUGGUGUGAAAAACUCCGGUGGUAUGAGAUGGACCCGCGUCUGAUUAGCCAGUUGGUGGGGUAACGGCCUACCAAAGCGACGAUCAGUAGCCGACCUGAGAGGGYGACCGGCCACAUUGGGACUGAGACACGGCCCAAACUCCUACGGGAGGCAGCAGUGGGGAAUAUUGCACAAUGGGGGAAACC
Molecule: ribosomal RNA, 401 nt
Filed under: Roseburia intestinalis
Lineage: Bacteria; Bacillati; Bacillota; Clostridia; Lachnospirales; Lachnospiraceae
Description: bacterial SSU rRNA
Source: RNAcentral